RNAcentral lists this ribosomal RNA (305 nucleotides) under uncultured Roseburia sp. RNAcentral's name for it is "bacterial SSU rRNA". It matches the Rfam family "Bacterial small subunit ribosomal RNA", at positions 354 to 671 of the family's 1533-position model. The record is from RNAcentral. Lineage: Bacteria; Bacillati; Bacillota; Clostridia; Lachnospirales; Lachnospiraceae.
UGGGGGAAUAUUGCACAAAUGGGGGAAACCCGUAGAUGCAGCGACGCCGCGUGAACGAAGAAGUGUUUCGGUAUGUAAAGUUACUAUCAGCAGGGAAGAUAAUGACGGUACCUGACUAAGAAGCACCGGCUAAAUACGUGCCAGCAGCCGCGGUAAUACGUAUGGUGCAAGCGUUAUCCGGAUUUACUGGGUGUAAAGGGAGCGCAGGCGGUGCGGCAAGUCUGAUGUGAAAGCCCCGGGGCUCAACCCCGGUACUGCAUUGGAAACUGUCGUACUAGAGUGUCGGAGGGGUAAGUGGAAUUCCU